GAUCAACGCUGGCGGCGCACAUAAGACAUGCAAGUUGAACGGACUUAAUCGAAAUAUUUAUAUUUUGAUGCGGUUAGUGUCGGACUGGUGAGUAACGCGUAAGGAACCUGCCUAUUAGAGGGGCAUAACAGUGAGAAAUCAUUGCUAAUACCGCAUAUGCCAUAGAUAUCACAUGAUAACAGUGGGAAAGGAGCAAUCCGCUAAUAGAUGGCCUUGCGUCUGAUUAGUUAGUUGGUAGGGUAACGGCCUACCAAGGCGACGAUCAGUAGCCGGACUGAGAGGAUGAACGGCCACAUUGGGACUGAGACACGGCCCAGACUCCUACGGGAGGCAGCAGUCGGGAAUAUUGCGCAAUGGAGGAAAGUCUGACGCAGUGACGCCGCGUAUAGGAAGAAGGUUUUCGGAUUGUAAAGUAUUGUUGUCAGGGAAGAGAAAGGACAGUACCUAAGGAGGAAGCCCCGGCUAACUACGU
This 472-nucleotide ribosomal RNA is filed under the name uncultured bacterium. RNAcentral's name for it is "partial 16S ribosomal RNA". It matches the Rfam family "Bacterial small subunit ribosomal RNA", at positions 28 to 506 of the family's 1533-position model. The record is from RNAcentral.